Molecule: ribosomal RNA, 76 nt
Filed under: Dasypus novemcinctus (nine-banded armadillo)
Lineage: Eukaryota; Metazoa; Chordata; Mammalia; Cingulata; Dasypodidae
Source: RNAcentral
CUCUAAAGCUAAUCCAGGUGGGGUCUGGUUAGUACUUGGAUGGAAGACUGCUUGGGAAUACUAGGUGUUGUAGGCU